GCCAGCAUGGUGUAGUGGUUUCAGCACUGGACUAUACUCGUAACUCUGGAGACCAGAGUUCAAAUCCUGCCUUGGCC
Non-coding RNA from Phrynosoma platyrhinos (Desert horned lizard), 77 nucleotides. The record is from the annotation of a GenBank genome assembly. Lineage: Eukaryota; Metazoa; Chordata; Lepidosauria; Squamata; Phrynosomatidae.